UAACGUUCUCAUUUCAAGCACUUAACUUGGGAGGAUAAAGGCGGGUGUUUUGGCCCCGAUUUUUGCUCUUUAGUGUUUAAAGAGGGGUUCUUUUGGAUUCUCUUGUCAAGUCCUAAAGAAGGAUCAUAGUUUGUCACCAGAAGAAUUUCUGAUAGAAAAUAAAAAAAAUGUUAUUUUCGGUCUUUUCGACCCCACAGCUGCAGCCAUUGUUUCUACUACGACAACAGCAGCAGCAACAGCAGCUUCUUCUGUUCACAAAGGAUGCAACUCCCGCUACUUACGAUACCAAGUGGGAGGAUCUCCAUCCUCAUUCUCAGCAGAUUCUUCUUCAGAUUGAACAUUAGAGUAUAGGGAUGAGAGCCAGAGAUUAGAUCAAAGCAGUCGUCUCUAUAAAUAUUUAGUUCCAAAUGAUGACUUUAAGUCUGAUGCCAGCCAUAUUGUUCAGGUUCUCCAUUUGCCCUCAUGUUUCUUUGAUAGUCUUUCUAAAACCACAUGAUGUAUUCGUCCCCAUGGUGGUCAAUUAUCUGUUUCAUUAUUGUUAUAACAUAGACAAAUGCUUUUUAUGCUUUAAGUUGGUUAUGAUUCUGUCGGUUAUUAAAGUUGUGGAGGGUUUUAUAAUAGGUAACCUCUGCCUAUACAAUGGGACAUCAAAAUUCGGAAGUAUCUUCUCGGCUAAAACAUGUCUAUCUGGAGCCUCAAUGCUAAUUUAUUUGCAUUUGAAUUUGUUUUAAUCUAUGAGAUGCUAAAGAGUUCUGCUGACAGUUUAUAUGAUCUUUAGAUGUGACGGGGGUUUAGCAUGUAACGAACCAAGGGUCACAUCAUCGCUUGGGAUUAAUUAACCCGACAGCACCUUAUGUUGGCUGUUUUCGUUAUUGCUGGUCAACUGAAAAUAUGGCCAUUUUUAGCUGAAGUCAAAAUAUAAUUUCAAUUUUCCGUGUGGUUGUUUUUGCUUAUUUGAAACUUGAAAGAAUUGUAGUUGAAAAUUUAGUUGACAAUAAAAGACUUAAUUUUUAUCACAAAAAAAUAGAAGACUUGAUUUUAUGUGGUGAGACAGAUCUCUGUUAAUCUGUAAAAGGAAGUUCGUAGUCCAUUUAUGUUUUAUUUCUCCUCUUGAUGUGACAACUUUUUCUUUCAUUUCUUCAUUUCUGUUCUAUUUUCGUGACUUGCUAUGCUAUUUGUUUGUAUGUUUAUUAGAAAAAAUAAGAAAAGUUAAUAAUUAAUUUUGACUGGAUUAGUUCCUCUGUCUCUUGUGAUUUUGUUCUUCAUCUGGUGAACUUCAAUAGUUAUGUAUAGAUUGUACAAUAGCUAUCUUCUUCUGUUUGAUAGGUACUCGGUAGCAUCAGUGCUGCCAUGGAAUGACCAAGAAACUUGCAGCAGGAACUGACGUCUGCUGUAAAAAAUAUAUUACGCAACACAGAGAUGACGGUUCGUUCUUCAAGGUUCCUUCAUCCCAAUAAGGUGAAUGCCUUGAGCACCACUGCUCCGUCACAGACUGCUGUAGUGACUAUUACGCCUACAUUGAGUAGUCGACCACCAGCUACAUUAAUGCCUGUGCCUGAUUUUUACCAUGGGCUUCCGAACAAACCAUCAUCCUUCUUAUGUCAAACAUUUUCAAGAUUUGAGAAAUAUUUUGGUGAAUGCUACCAUCGGCUUGAAGAGUUGGAGCUGCUUCUUGACAACUUCCGAGAAAAACACUUCCAAUAAUGGAUCCUUCUCAUUGCAGUCUAUUCCUAAAGCCAUGGCAAAUGUGCAUGACAUUUUUAUUCAUGUGGCUGCGAAGGCACAUAUGAGCAUUUUGCAGUUUCAGUUGACGUUCCCGGUAAAGCUUUGAGCAUAUUGCGUCAUUACGAAGUUAUAUAUAUGUCUAUAUAAUAUAUCUUUUCUUAAGAAAUGUUCAAAGUAUAUGGACAUUUUUCAUGCUGCUACUCUCAAUACUCUUAGCUCUGUAAAUUGUAUUUAUUCCACCCCUCUAUUUUUGGUUUUCUUUUAUCCUUUUGUACUCAUCAUGUUUGCUGGGGUUGCAAACUAUGAGCUCAGUUUGUUUAAGAGAAUCUGUUACUUGUUCAUAUCCAUACUUCUGAACAUUUCUCCUUUAUAUUUUAACUUAUAUUAAUAAUUUAAAUAGUCACA
Neltuma alba is the source of this 2130-nucleotide long non-coding RNA. RefSeq lists it as uncharacterized. The record is from RefSeq and is a predicted model, not a curated record. Lineage: Eukaryota; Viridiplantae; Streptophyta; Magnoliopsida; Fabales; Fabaceae. The transcript has 2 exons.